AGAGUGGCGAACGGGUGAGUAAUAUAUCGGAACGUGCCCAGUCGUGGGGGAUAACGUAGCGAAAGUUACGCUAAUACCGCAUACGAUCUAUGGAUGAAAGCGGGGGACCGUAAGGCCUCGCGCGAUNGNAGCGGCCGAUAUCAGAUUAGGUAGUUGGUGGGGUAAAGGCUCACCAAGCCAACGAUCUGUAGCUGGUCUGAGAGGACGACCAGCCACACUGGAACUGAGACACGGUCCAGACUCCUACGGGAGGCAGCAGUGGGGAAUUUUGGACAAUGGACGCAAGUCUGAUCCAGCCAUUCCGCGUGCAGGAUGAAGGCCCUCGGGUUGUAAACUGCUUUUGUACGGAACGAAAAGGUUUCUCUUAAUACGAGGAGCUCAUGACGGUACCGUAAGAAUAAGCACCGGCUAACUACGUGCCAGCAGCCGCGGUAAUACGUAGGGUGCAAGCGUUAAUCGGAAUUACUGGGCGUAAAGCGUGCGCAGGCGGUUAUGUAAGACAGAGGUGAAAUCCCCGGGCUCAACCUGGGAACUGCCUUUGAGACUGCAUAGCUAGAGUACGGUAGAGGGGGAUGGAAUUCCGCGUGUAGCAGUGAAAUGCGUAGAUAUGCGGAGGAACACCGAUGGCGAAGGCAAUCCCCUGGACCUGUACUGACGCUCAUGCACGAAAGCGUGGGGAGCAAACAGGAUUAGAUACCCUGNNAGUCCACGCCCUAAACGAUGUCAACUGGUUGUUGGGUCUUCACUGACUCAGUAACGAAGCUAACGCGUGAAGUUGACCGCCUGGGGAGUACGGCCGCAAGGUUGAAACUCAAAGGAAUUGACGGGNANCCGCACAAGCGGNGGNUGAUGUGNNUUAAUUCGAUGCACGCGAAAANCUUACCCACCUUUGACAUGU
RNAcentral lists this ribosomal RNA (898 nucleotides) under uncultured bacterium. RNAcentral's name for it is "bacterial SSU rRNA". It matches the Rfam family "Bacterial small subunit ribosomal RNA", at positions 92 to 989 of the family's 1533-position model. The record is from RNAcentral.